CCCUUAGAUGUUCUGGGCCGCACGCGCGCUACACUGUUCGACGCAGCGAGUCUUAACCUUGACCGAAAGGUUUGGGUAAUCUUCAGCAAAGUCGAACGUGAUGGGGAUCGAUCAUUGCAAUUAUUGAUCGUGAACGAGGAAUUCCUAGUAAGUGCAAGUCAUCAGCUUGCGCUGAUUAUGUCCCUGCCCUUUGUACACACCGCCCGUCGCUACUACCGAUUGAAUGGUUUAGUGAGAUCUCUGGAUUGACGCUGGCUAGGGGGCGACCCUUGGCCAGACUGUUGAGAAACUGCUCAAACUUGAUCAUUUAGAGGAAGUAAAAGUCGUAACA
This 331-nucleotide ribosomal RNA is filed under the name uncultured eukaryote. Its description in RNAcentral is "partial 18S ribosomal RNA". It matches the Rfam family "Eukaryotic small subunit ribosomal RNA", at positions 1470 to 1796 of the family's 1831-position model. The record is from RNAcentral.